Molecule: non-coding RNA, 540 nt
Organism: Chionomys nivalis (European snow vole)
Lineage: Eukaryota; Metazoa; Chordata; Mammalia; Rodentia; Cricetidae
Source: the annotation of a RefSeq genome assembly
AUGGACUUAAGGCUCACAUUGGUUUCCUUUGUUCUUAUUUUAAAAGGUGUCCAAUGUGAGGUGCAAUUGCUGGAGUCUGGGGGAGGUUUAGUGCAGCCUGGAAAGUCCCUGAAACUCUCCUGUGCAACCUCUGGAUUCACCUUCAGUGAUUAUUACAUGGACUGGGUCCGCCAGGCUUCCCUGAAGGGUUUGGAGUGGGUCGCAACCAUUAGCAGUGAUGGUAGUAACACCUGGUAUAUGGACGCUGUGAAGGGCCGGUUCACAAUCUCCAGAGACAAUGCCAAGAACACUCUGUACCUGGAAAUGAGCAGUCUGAGGUCUGAGGACACAGCCAUGUAUUACUGUGCAAGAAACACAGAACCUCCCCCAAUGCAAAGCAGCCCCCAGGCUCAGAAUGAAAGCCAUGGCCUAGCUGAGAAGCCCCAUCUCCUUCUCACUGGAGCUCCAGCAAAGCAUGGCUGUCCUGGUGCUGCUCCUCUGAUUCUUGACCUGUCCAACCUGUGCACUGUCCCAGUUCCAGGUGAUGGAGUCAGUACCUGA